Molecule: long non-coding RNA, 1202 nt
Organism: Dioscorea cayenensis subsp. rotundata (Guinea yam)
Lineage: Eukaryota; Viridiplantae; Streptophyta; Magnoliopsida; Dioscoreales; Dioscoreaceae
Exons: 6
Source: RefSeq, a predicted model, not a curated record
GUAAACCUCUGCAAAACCCCAGCUCCAAAAGCUCAAGAAACAGAGAAGAAAUGGAGUUCCAGAUUGUGAGGAGAAGGGUGGGCAGGAUCCUCAACCAUGUAGCUCCUUGUGAUGACAUCUUUCCAUCCAAUCCUCACCUUUUCCCCAUGAAUUGCAGUAGCACUUUAAACACCAUGGUCCGUCGGUAUGAUAAUCGAUUACUCUUUGCACGGCAAGGGUCUGCCUCCCAACCUUGUUUUAUGCAACCAGUUUCAAGUGGCCAGAAUACAGAACAUGAUCAUUCUUGUCAACUGAGUUCACAUCUCACUAAUUCUUCUUCCGGGACAUGUGAUUCUUCGAAAUCGCCACUCUGAGGUUCCCUUGUUCUCUAGAAAAGCUCUGACAAUCGAGCAGCCUGUGAAACAAGACUUCUCAUCCUCAAGUGAACAUCCUAAGUUUGCAAGACAAAUUAGCAGAAAUAAUGACAAAAAGGAAUUAUCUUGUAAUUUGGCAAGACCUAAAUCUGUUCGUCAUGGCUUGGAAUGGACACCACGAAUUGAUGUUGUCGAGUCUGCUUCAAAUUAUGUUGUUAUUGUUGAACUACCGGGUGUCAAUGUUUCUGACAUACUAGUGGAGGUUGAUGAUCAAAAACUGACUGUAAGUGGCAAACGCUUCAAUCAACAAAGGCGGGCAACUGAUUUUUCUGAAAACCUCAAACCCACAUUCCAUCGGAAAGAGAUAUUACAUGGACCUUACAGAGUUGUUUGGUCUCUUCCAAAGGACGUAAACAAGGAAAAUGUUUCAGCUGAGUUUGUGAAUGGAUUUCUGCAGAUAACCCUUAAUAAACAUUGAGAAAUAAAUGCAUGAAUCUCUUCCAUUCUACGGCGAGGAAAAUAAACAAACUCCAGAGUAUCGGUUAGGAAGAAAAAAUGGAAAGCUGAAAUGAGACUGUUAAGAGUAAUAUACCUUUAUAUAUAAAGUAUAUGUAUGUAUACCUUAUAUCUCCCUGUUCAUACAUACUCUUACAUACUCUUGUAUCUAUUUAUUGGGGUUGUUGCCCUAAUGAAUGAUAGUUUUCUUCUCUAACAUUUCCUUAUAGAGACAAUGUGGCUGAAGUUUAUGUCAUAGAUGAAAGAAUGAAUGUAUUAUCAGAAAUGCUAUUCAGAGAUGAACUAUGAUUGAAUUUUGUGACCUUAGCACAAUAAUAAAUCAUCGGAAUUACU